GACCGCUCUGAUGGUCCAUUGGUUAGAACAUCCACCUUGGAUGCAGGAGGUCAUGGGUUUGAUCCCCAGCUGAGUCG
Molecule: non-coding RNA, 77 nt
Organism: Potamilus streckersoni
Lineage: Eukaryota; Metazoa; Mollusca; Bivalvia; Unionida; Unionidae
Source: the annotation of a GenBank genome assembly